UACGUAGGGCGCAAGCGUUGUCCGGAAUUAUUGGGCGUAAAGAGCUCGUAGGCGGUCUGUCACGUCUGCCGUGAAAACCCGAGGCUUAACCUCGUGGCUUGCGGUGGACACGGGCAGACUAGAGGUAGGUAGGGGAGAACGGAAUUCCCGGUGUAGCGGUGAAAUGCGCAGAUAUCGGGAGGAACACCGGUGGCGAAGGCGGUUCUCUGGGCCUUACCUGACGCUGAGGAGCGAAAGCAUGGGGAGCGAACAGG
Molecule: ribosomal RNA, 254 nt
Filed under: uncultured bacterium
Lineage: Bacteria
Description: partial 16S ribosomal RNA
Rfam family: Bacterial small subunit ribosomal RNA
Source: RNAcentral